CAAAAAAUUAGCCGGGUAUGGUGGCACAUGCCUGUAGUCCCAGCUAUUUGGGAGGCUGAGGCCGGAGAAUUGCUUGAACCGGGAGGCGGAGGUUCCAGUAAGCCGAGAUUGUGCCACUGCACUCCAGCCUGCGUGACAGAGUGAGGACUCUGUCUCAAAAAAAUAAUAAUACUUUUUUUCCUCAAUUGCAGUGCCUAGUACCCUGCACAGCAUACAGCAGGUGCUCAGUAAAUGCUAAUCUAGUUACUACACACAGAACCUAAGCUGCUCAGUUCACUAACAGUAUGAUGAAUCAUUUUAGUCCUGAGUUAAUCAGUGUGUUGUAAGCAAUUCAAACUAUAGGCCCAUAUUUCAACAUCAGUGAGACUCCAUGAGCUAAAAAUUGCUCCUUGGAUUGAGUGAUUUGUUUAAAGGAGCAUUUUUUCCACUCUCCAGGUAAUAGGGUGAAAGUGGAGAAACAGAGACGGAAUGAAGUUUUUGAAGGAAAGCAGACCAUGGGACCUCCGCUUGUCACCAUGCCACAUGUCAGGAUAGCCACUGAGCAAGCCUGUAAGGCUAUUGGUCUGCCCAUUCUGGCUUCUUCACCAAUGAGAAAACUAGGACCUGGGGAGUUUGCAGAAGCCAUCCAAGGACACCUGCCUCUCACAGCGCAGCAGCUUCCUGCAGCCCUGCCCCCUGUCUUGUUCUUCCCUUGGUUGAGAGGAGAGGCCAGAACCAGAUGCAGGCACUUCCAACAGUAAUGAAUUGCUGUAAGGUACAGAGCCAAGAACCAGUGACAAGGUCAGGAAAUUCCACCCUGGGACACUGACCCAACUAAGAGACUGUGCAUGAUGGCUAAGUUCAGAGCUCUGAGGAGAUGGUAAAACUCAUUUUCAGUGAAACAAGAUAUUUCCCAACUCUGCAGCCAGAUGAGUAGGGUGUUUGCAUUCUUGAAAAUUGGUUUCUGAAAUAUUUGGCGGAGGAGGCUGUGAAUGGUGUUUGCAGAUGUCAAACAGCACCCCCUGGUGGAAUGCAGUGGCCCUGAGUCCUGGUCCAGCCAGCCCUUUUUUUUUUUUUUUCAAUUGUGUAAAUUUAAGAUGUACAACAAGAUGUUUUGAUAUACAUAUUUAUAAUGGAGUGAUUAUUUAAAGAUGAGAAAUUUAAUAUAUCCAUCUCCUUCUAUAGUUUCCUUGAGUGUGUCCACACUAAC
This 1189-nucleotide long non-coding RNA is filed under the name Macaca mulatta (Rhesus monkey). RNAcentral's name for it is "lncRNA (ENSMMUG00000042264.2)". The record is from RNAcentral. Lineage: Eukaryota; Metazoa; Chordata; Mammalia; Primates; Cercopithecidae.